GACGAACGCUGGCGGCGUGCCUAAUACAUGCAAGUUGAGCGCUGAAGGUUGGUACUUGUACCAACUGGAUGAGCAGCGAACGGGUGAGUAACGCGUGGGGAAUCUGCCUUUGAGCGGGGGACAACAUUUGGAAACGAAUGCUAAUACCGCAUAAAAACUUUAAACACAAGUUUUAAGUUUGAAAGAUGCAAUUGCAUCACUCAAAGAUGAUCCCGCGUUGUAUUAGCUAGUUGGUGAGGUAAAGGCUCACCAAGGCGAUGAUACAUAGCCGACCUGAGAGGGUGAUAGGACACAUUGGGACUGAGACACGGCCCAAACUCCUACGGGAGGAAGCAGUAGGGAAUCUUCGGCAAUGGACGAAAGUCUGACCGAGCAACGCCGCGUGAGUGAAGAAGGUUUUCGGAUCGUAAAACUCUGUUGGUAGAGAAGAACGUUGGUGAGAGUGGAAAGCUCAUCAAGUGACGGUAACUACCCAGAAAGGGACGGCUAACUACGUG
RNAcentral lists this ribosomal RNA (497 nucleotides) under uncultured bacterium. Its description in RNAcentral is "partial 16S ribosomal RNA". It matches the Rfam family "Bacterial small subunit ribosomal RNA", at positions 28 to 507 of the family's 1533-position model. The record is from RNAcentral.